RNAcentral lists this ribosomal RNA (1521 nucleotides) under Triticum aestivum (bread wheat). RNAcentral's name for it is "partial small subunit ribosomal RNA". The record is from RNAcentral. Lineage: Eukaryota; Viridiplantae; Streptophyta; Magnoliopsida; Poales; Poaceae.
AUGGCCUCCUUCCUUGUUGAAUGCCUUGGAUGGCUCAUCGUCGUCCUCUUUUCCAUGUACAUUUUCCAGCUACUCCGUGACGCUCGCCGCCGCCUUCCCCCGGGCCCCUGGCCGCCGAAGCCUAUCAUCGGCGACCUCCUCGACCUCGGGGAGGACGGCCAGCAGCACCGCGCGUUCCUGCGCCUGGCCGACCGCUACGGCGGCCUCAUGUGCCUCCGCUUCGGCAUGGUGCCCCACGUGAUCAUCUCCACGCCAGACGCCCUGCGCGCCGUGUUCGGCGGGGAAGGCAAGAAGGUGGACAACAUCGCCGGCCUCCCGAGCCUGGACGUCCUCAGCGCCAUGGGCCACCGCGCCCACACCAUCUUCGCGCUCCCGAGCCAGGACGGCAAGUGGCGCGCGAUCCGCAAGUUCGCCGCCGCAGAGAUGCUGGCUCCCAGGCGGAUCUCCGCCGGGGCCGGGGCGCUGCUGCAGACCAAGAUCGUUGAGGCGCUGCACCGAGAGGUGUCGGGCCACGCCGCGCGCGGCACCGCCGUCGUGUUCAGGCACGCGGUGCUCGACUCCAUCCUGAGCCUGCUGCUGGGGGUGCUCUACUCCACCGACCUGGAGCCCAAGGAACGGGCCGUGUUCAGGGACAUCAUCGAGGAUAUCGUUGGGAUGCUCGGCACGGCUAACGUCUCCGACAUAUUCCCGCCGAUCGCCGCGCUCGACCUCCAGGGCCUGCGACGCAGGAUGACGAACCUCUUCGCCAUCAUGUACCGCCACUUCGACGACCAGGUGGCUCUACGGCUGCGUAGCCGGGAAGCCGGAGAGGCGCCCAAGAAGGACGUGCUGGACACGGUCCUCGAUAAGGACGGCGAAUGGAAGCAGGAGGGGUCUCUGCUAAGCCAUGAUGUCAUGAGAGCACUCCUCUCCGAUUUGUACGGCGCCGGAGCAAGCACGACAGCGGCUCUCAUCGAGUGGGGAAUGGUGGAUCUGCUUCAGAACCCAGAGGUGAUGCGCAAGGUCAAGGAGGAGCUCGCUACGGUUCUUGGCGACAAACCGCUCAUGGAAGAAUCCGACAUUGCCCGGCUCCCAUACCUCCAAGUCGUCGUCAAAGAGAUCCUUCGUCUGCGGAUGGUGGUGCCGCUGGUACCUCGCAAAGCGGAGGCUGACAUCGAGGUGAAUGGCUACAGGAUCCCUAAGGGCACCAACGUGAUCCUCAACGCGUGGGCGAUCAACCGGAGCGCCGACGCAUGGUCGGAUCCGGACAAGUUCGUCCCCGAGAGGUUCAUCGGCGGCGAGACCAAGAACUUCCAGCUGGGGCAGGACUUUGACAUGAUACCAUUCGGUCUUGGCCGACGCAUCUGCCCCGGGAUGCCGCUUGCACAGAAGCUGAUACCGCUGAUUCUUGGCACGCUGCUCCAUCGGUUCGAGUGGGAGCUUCCUGCGGAGGUCAAGGAGGCUGGGAUAGACAUGACAGAGAAGUGUGGGGUGGUGUUAUCUCUAGUCACCCCCCUUACAGCCAUACCCAAGGAAAUAUGA